Long non-coding RNA from Penaeus indicus, 315 nucleotides. RefSeq lists it as uncharacterized. The record is from RefSeq and is a predicted model, not a curated record. NCBI's taxonomy places the organism in Eukaryota, Metazoa, Arthropoda, Malacostraca, Decapoda, Penaeidae. The transcript is spliced from 3 exons.
ACGAAUGGACCCUCGUCGUGCGUUACGUCCAGCGGAGAGAUGCCGGUGUGUACGAGUGUCAGAUCAACACGGAUCACAAACUCUCACGCGCUGUCACGCUUAAGGUCUAUGAUACGAGCCAGCAGAUGAGCGUCUCGAAGACAAAGGUUUUCUUGGCGAACAACACAGCGUCGACCAAAGACGGCAACCUCCGCGUCGAGAUCCAGGGGCCUCGAGAGCUGUACAUCGAGGAAGGUUCCUCCCUCAGCCUCACCUGCGUCGUGACCUCCUCUCGCGGGCCGUCCAAGCUGAUCUACUGGUACCACAACACCAACC